RNAcentral lists this ribosomal RNA (427 nucleotides) under uncultured bacterium. RNAcentral's name for it is "partial 16S ribosomal RNA". It matches the Rfam family "Bacterial small subunit ribosomal RNA", at positions 355 to 774 of the family's 1533-position model. The record is from RNAcentral.
UGGGGAAUAUUGCACAAUGGGCGCAAGCCUGAUGCAGCCAUGCCGCGUGUAUGAAGAAGGCCUUCGGGUUGUAAAGUACUUUCAGCGAGGAGGAAGGCGGUAAGGUUAAUAACCUUAUCGAUUGACGUUACUCGCAGAAGAAGCACCGGCUAACUCCGUACCAGCAGCCGCGGUAAUACGGAGGGUGCAAGCGUUAAUCGGAAUUACUGGGCGUAAAGCGCACGCAGGCGGUCUGUCAAGUCGGAUGUGAAAUCCCCGGGCUCAACCUGGGAACUGCAUUCGAAACUGGCAGGCUAGAGUCUUGUAGAGGGGGGUAGAAUUCCAGGUGUAGCGGUGAAAUGCGUAGAGAUCUGGAGGAAUACCGGUGGCGAAGGCGGCCCCCUGGACAAAGACUGACGCUCAGGUGCGAAAGCGUGGGGAGCAAACA